This is a ribosomal RNA of Ancylostoma ceylanicum, 429 nucleotides long. It matches the Rfam family "Eukaryotic large subunit ribosomal RNA", at positions 1458 to 1888 of the family's 3401-position model. NCBI's taxonomy places the organism in Eukaryota, Metazoa, Nematoda, Chromadorea, Rhabditida, Ancylostomatidae. The record is from Rfam.
UAGUGGCAAAUAUCUAAGUUCGAUCCUUGAAGACUGAAGUGGAGAAAGGUUCCACGUGAACAGUAGUUGAAUGUAGGCCAGUCGAUCAUAAGAUACUGGCUUAUGCCGUGUAUCGUUGAGAGGAAAAAGUUUCUUUUCUCUCGGAUAUCAAGAGGGAAUAGGGUUAAUAUUCCCUAACGCAGACGCAGAGAUUGCGGUUCCUUGAGUCGCUUGCGCGGUAACGCAUUCGAACUUGGUUAUGUCGCUCAGAGACCGAGCUAGAGUUCUCUUCUCUAGUUAGGGAACGGACUCCCUGGAAAUCACAGAAUGGGAGGUUUAAUAUAGUAUUAAAAGUUAUAUGGGGUUUCUACUUUCAGAUUCCAUUCCGUAUACGGUGAACUCCAAACGGUCGUACACAAGGGGCGGGACCGCGGCGCGGGCACUCUGGUU